CGAAGUGAGUGGCGAACGGGUGAGUAACACGUGGGUAACCUGCCCAGAAGUAGGGGAUAACACCUGGAAACAGAUGCUAAUACCGUAUAACAGAGAAAACCGCAUGGUUUUCUUUUAAAAGAUGGCUCUGCUAUCACUUCUGGAUGGACCCGCGGCGUAUUAGCUAGUUGGUGAGGUAAAGGCUCACCAAGGCAGUGAUACGUAGCCGACCUGAGAGGGUAAUCGGCCACAUUGGGACUGAGACACGGCCCAGACUCCUACGGGAGGCAGCAGUAGGGAAUCUUCCACAAUGGACGCAAGUCUGAUGGAGCAACGCCGCGUGAGUGAAGAAGGGUUUCGGCUCGUAAAGCUCUGUUGUUAAAGAAGAACGUGGGUAAGAGUAACUGUUUACCCAGUGACGGUAUUUAACCAGAAAGCCACGGCUAACUACGUGCCAGCAGCCGCGGUAA
Molecule: ribosomal RNA, 449 nt
Filed under: Pediococcus pentosaceus
Lineage: Bacteria; Bacillati; Bacillota; Bacilli; Lactobacillales; Lactobacillaceae
Description: bacterial SSU rRNA
Rfam family: Bacterial small subunit ribosomal RNA
Source: RNAcentral